GACGAAGGUGGCAAGCGUUGCUCGGAAUUACUGGGCAUAAAGGGCGCGUAGGUGGCAUGGCAAGUCGGUGGUGAAAGCCUGUGGCUCACCCACAGAACCGCCAUCGAUACUGCUGUGCUCGAGGGCAGGAGGGGAGAGUGGAAUUCCCAGUGUAGAGGUGAAAUGCGUAGAUAUCAGGAGAAACGCCGGUGGCGAAAGCGACUCUCUGGACUGCACCUGACACUGAGGCGCGAGAGCUAGGGGAGCAAACAGG
Molecule: unclassified non-coding RNA, 253 nt
Filed under: uncultured Planctomycetota bacterium
Lineage: Bacteria; Pseudomonadati; Planctomycetota
Description: uncultured planctomycete contains 16S-23S intergenic spacer region
Rfam family: Bacterial small subunit ribosomal RNA
Source: RNAcentral